AGUGAACGCUGGCGGUAGGCCUAACACAUGCAAGUCGAACGGCAGCACAGUAAGAGCUUGCUCUUACGGGUGGCGAGUGGCGGACGUGUGAGGAAUACAUCGGAAUCUACUUUUUCGUGGGGGAUAACGUAGGGAAACUUACGCUAAUACCGCAUACGACCUACGAGUGAAAGCAGGGGAUCUUCUGACCUUGCGCGAUUGAAUGAGCCGAUGUCGGAUUAGCUAGUUGGCGGGGUAAAGGCCCACCAAGGCGACGAUCCGUAGCUGGUCUGAGAGGAUGAUCAGCCACACUGGAACUGAGACACGGUCCAGACUCCUACGGGAGGCAGCAGUGGGGAAUAUUGGACAAUGGGCGCAAGCCUGAUCCAGCCAUACCGCGUGGGUGAAGAAGGCCUUCGGGUUGUAAAGCCCUUUUGUUGGGAAAGAAAAGCAGCAGGUUAAUACCCCGCUGUUCUGACGGUACCCAAAGAAUAAGCACCGGCUAACUUCGUG
RNAcentral lists this ribosomal RNA (492 nucleotides) under uncultured bacterium. Its description in RNAcentral is "partial 16S ribosomal RNA". It matches the Rfam family "Bacterial small subunit ribosomal RNA", at positions 29 to 507 of the family's 1533-position model. The record is from RNAcentral.